Molecule: non-coding RNA, 26 nt
Filed under: Mus musculus (house mouse)
Lineage: Eukaryota; Metazoa; Chordata; Mammalia; Rodentia; Muridae
Source: RNAcentral
UAAAUUGCAGACUGCGGCAAGCUUUC